GGAAUCUUGCACAAUGGGGGAAACCCUGAUGCAGCGACGCCGCGUGAGCGAUGAAGCCCUUCGGGGUGUAAAGCUCUUUCGACAGGGACGAUAAUGACGGUACCUGAAGAAGAAGCUGCGGCCAACUACGUGCCAGCAGCCGCGGUAAUACGUAGGCAGCGAGCGUUGUUCGGAAUUACUGGGCGUAAAGAGUGCGUAGGUGGUUGGCCAAGUUUGGUGGGAAAUCUCCCGGCUUAACUGGGAGGGUGCGCCGAAAACUGGCUGGCUAGAGUGUGGGAGAGGGAAGUGGAAUUCCUGGUGUAACGGUGAAAUGCGUAGAUAUCAGGAGGAACACCUGAGGUGUAGACGGCUUCCUGGACCAUUACUGACACUGAGGCACGAAAGCGUGGGUAGCAAACAGG
Molecule: ribosomal RNA, 401 nt
Filed under: uncultured bacterium
Lineage: Bacteria
Description: bacterial SSU rRNA
Rfam family: Bacterial small subunit ribosomal RNA
Source: RNAcentral